UUUCAGCCUCCCACUUAAUUUUUUUUUUUUUCAGAUUUCCCGCUUCUUUUUAGUCUCAUUUUCUGCCUCAUCCCACAUUUUCCUGAUACAAAGUUACCCUUUUUUCCAGAUUUCCCACUUCUUUUUUUCAGAUUUCCCCCUAUUCUUUCAGUAACAAUAACAACAACUACAAGUACUUCAGGUAUUGGCUUUAAGAAGACCGAUGUUCCACAGGAUUUUAGACUAUGAAGAUGAAUUCUUUGCUUCCCUCGUGCUCAUUCUCGAAACUCACAAUUUCCGCACCACAGGCUAAGCAUUCUUUGCUGGUGGUGAGUUUUGAUUUUUUUUUGAAGAGCCGUGUGUUUGGCUUGAGCAUAGUCAAAAUGUCACAUGCCUUGGGUUAUAGAUGAUGUCGAGGGGAGAUAUAUUUCAUUGCAACAAGUUUUAGCUUGGUUGCAUAUCUUCAUGAGGAAUUCGUUAUCAUUUGAUUAAUAUUUGAGUGAAUAGAUUCGAACUUAUAUUGUGUACAUGAUAUUGAACUUGGGUAUUAUUUUCCCUUAUUAGUAGUUAUUGAUUGAGUAGUUGUUAUGCUUA
Molecule: long non-coding RNA, 573 nt
Organism: Quercus lobata
Lineage: Eukaryota; Viridiplantae; Streptophyta; Magnoliopsida; Fagales; Fagaceae
Exons: 4
Source: RefSeq, a predicted model, not a curated record